CUUCAGGGACGCCCGCCAAGGCAGAAACCCGGAAAAUCCGGGUUUCUGCCUUGGCGGGCGUCACCCACA
This 69-nucleotide unclassified non-coding RNA is filed under the name Pseudomonas sp. Z003-0.4C(8344-21). Lineage: Bacteria; Pseudomonadati; Pseudomonadota; Gammaproteobacteria; Pseudomonadales; Pseudomonadaceae. The record is from RNAcentral.